GACGAACGCUGGCGGCGUGCCUAAUACAUGCAAGUCGAACGCAGUGGGGACGGGUGAGUAACACGUGGGUAACCUCCCAUCAGAGAGGAUAACACUUGGAAACAGGUUCUAAACCGACACUGAUUGAAGGCCCCGCGGUGCAUUAGCUAGUUGGUGGGGUAGCGGCUCACCAAGGCCACGAUGCAUAGCCGACUUGAGAGGCUGAUCGGCAACACUGGGACUGAGACACGGCCCAGACUCCUACGGGAGGCAGCAGUAGGGAAUCUUCGACAAUGGACGAAAGUCUGACGGAGCAACGCCGCGUGAGUGAAGAAGGUUUGCGGAUCGUAAAACUCUGUUGUUAGAGAAGCGGUAUCUAACCAGAAAGCCACGGCUAACUACGUGCCAGCAGCCGCGGUAAUAC
This 403-nucleotide ribosomal RNA is filed under the name uncultured bacterium. RNAcentral's name for it is "partial 16S ribosomal RNA". It matches the Rfam family "Bacterial small subunit ribosomal RNA", at positions 28 to 526 of the family's 1533-position model. The record is from RNAcentral.